RNAcentral lists this ribosomal RNA (1306 nucleotides) under Microbacterium laevaniformans. RNAcentral's name for it is "bacterial SSU rRNA". It matches the Rfam family "Bacterial small subunit ribosomal RNA", at positions 93 to 1411 of the family's 1533-position model. Lineage: Bacteria; Bacillati; Actinomycetota; Actinomycetes; Micrococcales; Microbacteriaceae. The record is from RNAcentral.
CAGUGGCGAACGGGUGAGUAACACGUGAGCAACCUGCCCUGAACUCUGGGAUAAGCGCUGGAAACGGCGUCUAAUACUGGAUAUGAGCUGCGGAGGCAUCUUCGUGGUUGGAAAGAUUUUUCGGUUUGGGAUGGGCUCGCGGCCUAUCAGCUUGUUGGUGAGGUAAUGGCUCACCAAGGCGUCGACGGGUAGCCGGCCUGAGAGGGUGACCGGCCACACUGGGACUGAGACACGGCCCAGACUCCUACGGGAGGCAGCAGUGGGGAAUAUUGCACAAUGGGCGGAAGCCUGAUGCAGCAACGCCGCGUGAGGGAUGACGGCCUUCGGGUUGUAAACCUCUUUUAGCAGGGAAGAAGCGAAAGUGACGGUACCUGCAGAAAAAGCGCCGGCUAACUACGUGCCAGCAGCCGCGGUAAUACGUAGGGCGCAAGCGUUAUCCGGAAUUAUUGGGCGUAAAGAGCUCGUAGGCGGUUUGUCGCGUCUGCUGUGAAAUCUGGGGGCUCAACCCCCAGCCUGCAGUGGGUACGGGCAGACUAGAGUGCGGUAGGGGAGAUUGGAAUUCCUGGUGUAGCGGUGGAAUGCGCAGAUAUCAGGAGGAACACCGAUGGCGAAGGCAGAUCUCUGGGCCGUAACUGACGCUGAGGAGCGAAAGGGUGGGGAGCAAACAGGCUUAGAUACCCUGGUAGUCCACCCCGUAAACGUUGGGAACUAGUUGUGGGGUCCAUUCCACGGAUUCCGUGACGCAGCUAACGCAUUAAGUUCCCCGCCUGGGGAGUACGGCCGCAAGGCUAAAACUCAAAGGAAUUGACGGGGACCCGCACAAGCGGCGGAGCAUGCGGAUUAAUUCGAUGCAACGCGAAGAACCUUACCAAGGCUUGACAUACACGAGAACGCUGCAGAAAUGUAGAACUCUUUGGACACUCGUGAACAGGUGGUGCAUGGUUGUCGUCAGCUCGUGUCGUGAGAUGUUGGGUUAAGUCCCGCAACGAGCGCAACCCUCGUUCUAUGUUGCCAGCACGUAAUGGUGGGAACUCAUGGGAUACUGCCGGGGUCAACUCGGAGGAAGGUGGGGAUGACGUCAAAUCAUCAUGCCCCUUAUGUCUUGGGCUUCACGCAUGCUACAAUGGCCGGUACAAAGGGCUGCAAUACCGCGAGGUGGAGCGAAUCCCAAAAAGCCGGUCCCAGUUCGGAUUGAGGUCUGCAACUCGACCUCAUGAAGUCGGAGUCGCUAGUAAUCGCAGAUCAGCAACGCUGCGGUGAAUACGUUCCCGGGUCUUGUACACACCGCCCGUCAAGUCAUGAAAGU